Molecule: long non-coding RNA, 2506 nt
Organism: Uranotaenia lowii
Lineage: Eukaryota; Metazoa; Arthropoda; Insecta; Diptera; Culicidae
Exons: 6
Source: RefSeq, a predicted model, not a curated record
AGAUACGAUUAAUGAUCCUGAAAAAAAUUGAAAUUUUCGCGCAUCUGAAUGUAAUGUGUCUCGAGUGAAGCGUCAGUGUGUCAUCACUUUUCGACUUUCUCGCAUCAUUGUAUUAACCAGCGAAAAUAUUUGGAAAAUAAAUGUUUUUAAAAUGUUAAAAUCCGUGAAUCGCAAUUAAAAACUGCGUGCUCAAACUACAUCGGUCGGUACAGAAAGCUAUGUCCCCAUAAAACAUUCCUUUGCCCUGGAAUCGCAGAACCGGAGGAGCAGGUGCUUCAAGCAGCGUAAAAACAAUGGCGGAGGUAGCAGUUUAUGGUUGUUCCGGAUGUUACUUCAAUAAUUGUUCCAUUUCAGCCGGAAGAAAAUCGCAGACUAUUAUUUGCAUGCCGGUGCAUAGAACCGGAGGAACAGGCCCUUAAAGAAUUUAGAAGCAUCAGCUUUCUUCCGGACCAUCACUCGCAGCACAGAUUCCAGCUCGGAAGGUUAACGAUUCGGAUUUGGUUUUCGGUUUCUCGUAGAUAGACAAUCGCAACGAUGUCGGACAUCCAGACGUUACAGGACAUGAGUUUACCAAGAGAGAAAAGUCUUCAUAAUCCAUCGCCUUCAUCUGCAAAGUGUGCCAUCGCGAUGUAAACAAACUUGAAUCAUCAAAAAGCGGAAGGAAAUGUUUUAUCGCGGUCUGCUAUGAUUCAAAUAACGGCAAGGCUGGUUCGUGUACAAAGUGUCCUUUUCCUUGGGGAAUGCUUGGCUACGUUUUCUAAUCCGUUGCUUCCGGAACAUCUAGUAUCACAGAGUAAUAGAAAAUUAUCCUCAGCCACCGUUCAUAUACUUUCCAGGAAAGUGGUAGAGGGUGAUGUAUUGGAUCGGGAUCCGCAGUCGGGAUUGAUGGCAGUGGUUUUCACAGUUCAAAUGGUUCAAAUACCAGUGCCACGGAAACCACCAAUCGACAAAAACAUAAGAAUGCGGAUCGACAUCGCUGAAUGCCAACAAUCAACUCAAGGGUGAGGCGCUUCAGUCCUCGGAACCGAAGAUCUUGUUCUGCGAGCUGCGAUUAUCACCAGAGAAAUCCAGACAGUGUAAGGUUAUUUUUUUCCAGAAAUCAAAUUCCACAGUGCAGGCCCUGCGUGUUACAAAACGAGUACUGUAGCGAUGGAACAAUCAUUCUGAACGACUUAUCUAACCAGGACCUACCCUGAAUAACUUUUUCCUGAAGAAUAAAAGCCCCAUCAAAAAUUGAGUAUGGUUUACAGUACAGAGCAUAACCGCCAGAAGAAGACCGCUUUUCCACGUGAUUUCUAACAAACUCGGCGAAGUGGGUGGCAGGAGUAGGAACAUUAGACUCCCAGCUGUGGCACUGUAAAGUGCGUGCACUUUUCGAUAAAUUUGCGACGUGAAGAAAUUACCAAAAUAAAAAAUAAGCGGAAACCCAACUUUACACAGGAAAAAGAUGCACCAAGCAAAGGAAUAAAUAGAUCCGGAUAACACAAAAUCAAUGACGACAUUGCAGACUGAAUUACAGCUCCAGUGGCAAAGUAACGCAUUGUUCUUUCGAUCUUAAAUUAUUUUUCAAUCACGGUUAAAUAUUCUGAUAGGAACGCCUGCUUCCGAAUGUUGCACAUUGCCCGAAAGUUGUCAGUGUGCUCAAGGCUUGCCUCUUAAGUAUGAAUAAAAGACGGAAAGGCAAACCUUGCCAAAACUCCUGAGUACAUCUUUCCGAUGCAACUUCUUCACCGGAAAUUCCGUCUGGAAGUCGGCCCAGUCAGAUGCCAUUAAGUCAUCAUAUAACCUGCUAUUCUCUUUCUUCGAACAUCUCAAUGAUGCGAGUAGAAAAAAAUAUGUACCGAUGCAACAAAAGAGUCGUAUUGAUGAAAGGUGUUUAUGAAUUUCAUACUAAUACAUUUUUGACCACUUUUGUUAUAACAGCAACAGCAAUGUUAAAGAUUAAUUUGUCUUUUUCAUAGGAGCACUUGUAAUUUUUCAUUUAAUAUUUUAAUUAUAUUCAGGAUUAAUUUAUGAUUCAUGUUCAAUUCAUGCUUCGAAGAUAGUUUGGCAAUUAAAUCUGCUAAGUGGUCACAGAAUAAAAGUCGAAUGUUGCAAAAUUGCAAUUUAAAGUUCAUCUUAAAAACACAGAGAAAUUAAAAUACUAGUUCAUGUUUCUAAUUUCUUAAUUAAAAUCCGUAGACAAAAGUAAUAUCCAUAAUAAAAUGAGUUUGAAUUUUGAAUCAGAGUUGAAAAGAAAAAUAAGUAUCAGAAAUCAGAAUUUUUGAAAAUAAAAUAUGAUGUUCAAAAUGCUCAAAAAAUAUAACAAAAUUUAUUGAAAAGAGAGAUCAGAGCCAAAUUGUUGUUUAUCCAUUAUGAAAAUGUGAAAUUAUUGUUUUUUAAAUCAGAUCAAAAAAUUGUGACAUGAAUCUGGAGAAAAAGUUGAUAAACGUGAUGCUCUGAAAUGUAAACCAAAUUUAAAAAUAUUUACUUAUAGUGUUGAAACGAAAAGAUAAGAAUGUAACAA